Molecule: ribosomal RNA, 375 nt
Filed under: uncultured bacterium
Lineage: Bacteria
Description: bacterial SSU rRNA
Rfam family: Bacterial small subunit ribosomal RNA
Source: RNAcentral
AUACGUAGGGUGCGAGCGUUAAUCGGAAUUACUGGGCGUAAAGCGUGCGCAGGCGGUUUUGUAAGACCGAUGUGAAAUCCCCGGGCUCAACCUGGGAACUGCAUUGGUGACUGCAAGGCUGGAGUGCGGCAGAGGGGGAUGGAAUUCCGCGUGUAGCAGUGAAAUGCGUAGAUAUGCGGAGGAACACCGAUGGCGAAGGCAAUCCCCUGGGCCUGCACUGACGCUCAUGCACGAAAGCGUGGGGAGCAAACAGGAUUAGAUACCCUGGUAGUCCACGCCCUAAACGAUGUCAACUGGUUGUUGGGUAUUUGCUUACUCAGUAACGAAGCUAACGCGUGAAGUUGACCGCCUGGGGAGUACGGCCGCAAGGUUGAA